Molecule: ribosomal RNA, 1440 nt
Filed under: uncultured organism
Description: SSU rRNA
Rfam family: Bacterial small subunit ribosomal RNA
Source: RNAcentral
CGCUAUCUACAGGCUUAACACAUGCAAGUCGAGGGGCAGCAUGGUCUUAGCUUGCUAAGGCCGAUGGCGACCGGCGCACGGGUGAGUAACACGUAUCCAACCUGCCGUCUACUCUUGGACAGCCUUCUGAAAGGAAGAUUAAUACAAGAUGGCAUCAUGAGUCCGCAUGUUCACAUGAUUAAAGGUAUUCCGGUAGACGAUGGGGAUGCGUUCCAUUAGAUAGUAGGCGGGGUAACGGCCCACCUAGUCUUCGAUGGAUAGGGGUUCUGAGAGGAAGGUCCCCCACAUUGGAACUGAGACACGGUCCAAACUCCUACGGGAGGCAGCAGUGAGGAAUAUUGGUCAAUGGGCGAGAGCCUGAACCAGCCAAGUAGCGUGAAGGAUGACUGCCCUAUGGGUUGUAAACUUCUUUUAUAAAGGAAUAAAGUCGGGUAUGGAUACCCGUUUGCAUGUACUUUAUGAAUAAGGAUCGGCUAACUCCGUGCCAGCAGCCGCGGUAAUACGGAGGAUCCGAGCGUUAUCCGGAUUUAUUGGGUUUAAAGGGAGCGUAGAUGGAUGUUUAAGUCAGUUGUGAAAGUUUGCGGCUCAACCGUAAAAUUGCAGUUGAUACUGGAUAUCUUGAGUGCAGUUGAGGCAGGCGGAAUUCGUGGUGUAGCGGUGAAAUGCUUAGAUAUCACGAAGAACUCCGAUUGCGAAGGCAGCCUGCUAAGCUGCAACUGACAUUGAGGCUCGAAAGUGUGGGUAUCAAACAGGAUUAGAUACCCUGGUAGUCCACACGGUAAACGAUGAAUACUCGCUGUUUGCGAUAUACAGCAAGCGGCCAAGCGAAAGCGUUAAGUAUUCCACCUGGGGAGUACGCCGGCAACGGUGAAACUCAAAGGAAUUGACGGGGGCCCGCACAAGCGGAGGAACAUGUGGUUUAAUUCGAUGAUACGCGAGGAACCUUACCCGGGCUUAAAUUGCAGAUGAAUUACGGUGAAAGCCGUAAGCCGCAAGGCAUCUGUGAAGGUGCUGCAUGGUUGCCGUCAGCUCGUGCCGUGAGGUGUCGGCUUAAGUGCCAUAACGAGCGCAACCCUUGUUGUCAGUUACUAACAGGUUCCGCUGAGGACUCUGACAAGACUGCCAUCGUAAGAUGUGAGGAAGGUGGGGAUGACGUCAAAUCAGCACGGCCCUUACGUCCGGGGCUACACACGUGUUACAAUGGGGGGUACAGAGGGCCGCUACCACGCGAGUGGAUGCCAAUCCCCAAAACCUCUCUCAGUUCGGACUGGAGUCUGCAACCCGACUCCACGAAGCUGGAUUCGCUAGUAAUCGCGCAUCAGCCACGGCGCGGUGAAUACGUUCCCGGGCCUUGUACACACCGCCCGUCAAGCCAUGGGAGCCGGGGGUACCUGAAGUGCGUAACCGCGAGGAGCGCCCUAGGGUAAAACUGGUGACUGG